UACGUAGGGUGCGAGCGUUGUCCGGAAUUAUUGGGCGUAAAGAGCUCGUAGGCGGUCUGUCGCGUCGAUCGUGAAAACUUGGGGCUUAACCCUGAGCUUGCGGUCGAUACGGGCAGGCUGGAGUUCGGUAGGGGAGACUGGAAUUCCUGGUGUAGCGGUGAAAUGCGCAGAUAUCAGGAGGAACACCGGUGGCGAAGGCGGGUCUCUGGGCCGAUACUGACGCUGAGGAGCGAAAGCGUGGGGAGCGAACAGG
This 253-nucleotide ribosomal RNA is filed under the name uncultured bacterium. RNAcentral describes it as "partial 16S ribosomal RNA". It matches the Rfam family "Bacterial small subunit ribosomal RNA", at positions 524 to 776 of the family's 1533-position model. The record is from RNAcentral.